Molecule: long non-coding RNA, 6790 nt
Organism: Dreissena polymorpha
Lineage: Eukaryota; Metazoa; Mollusca; Bivalvia; Myida; Dreissenidae
Exons: 6
Source: RefSeq, a predicted model, not a curated record
CAUGUCCUUUUUAUGCCCCCAGUAGUGUGGCAUAUAGCAGUUGAACUGUCCGUCAGUCAGUGUGUCAGUCCGUUCUCACGAAUGAUACAUUGUGCAACUUUUUUUAUGCCUAGAUAUACAUUGUGUGUCUUAAUUUCAUUGUGGGACUAGUCGCACAAUACAUUUGCCCAAAGUUCGUCAAAAUGUGUCUUGUGCAACUUUAAACCUAUCUGGAGAAGUCGCACAACGUUUUUGUCCAAAAUGUGUCCAAAGGAUGUCCAUUUAAAACUGUCUAUGCGAUGGACGAGACCGUAACUUUUAUUUUUGCAAGUGUCCGUGAAAGUUUGAGCGUCUAUAUUUGAGGCAAUCAGAAGCCUGUUUAUAAAAAAGACGAGCCAAUGAACACCAGGCUUUCUAAUCGACGCAUGCGCUUGCACCUGCGUUCUCCCGCGUGAUGGACAUGUGGCUUUUGUGUGUAGUGGGACUGUUUUAAACGUCGCAGAAACCAACAUAACGGAUUUAUAUUUUAUAGAACCAUAUGUGAGAAUGUAGGUCAAGAUACAUCAACCACAGCCAGUAAAUAGGUGUGCUCAUCAUCAGGUCAAGAUACAUCGCCCACAGCUGGUCAAGAGGUGUGCUCAUCAGGAGGUCAAGAUUCAUCACCCACAGCCAGUCAAGAGGUUCGGUCUUCAGCACGUUAAGAAACAUCACCCACAGUCAGUCAAGAGGUUUGGCCAUCAGAACGUCAAGAUACAUUACCCACAGCCAGUCAAGAGGUUUGCUCAUCGGCAGGUCAAGAUACAUCACCCACAGCUAGUCAAGAGGUUUGGCCAUCAGCACAUAAAGAUACAUCCCCUACAGCCAGUCAAGAGGUUUGCUCAUCAGAACGUCAAGAUACAUCACACACAGUCAAUCAGGAGGUGAACCUUAGGAAACAACUGCAACAUUGAGCCAGGUGAUAAACUUGAAACCAAACAAGCUACAAUGGCUGUGUAGCCACCUGGGUCAUACAACGAGAGUGCGCUUUGACCACUACAGGCAAAUGUCUGGCUUCAUUGAAAGAGUCAAAAUCAGCAAAGUAUUGCUGAUGCAAGACAUGGACCUUACAGAAAAGUUUGUAGGAAAGAGCCUUGAUGAAAUUGGGAGCAUUCCUUUUAAAGACAUUUUAACAUCUGGUCCAGAGACAUGUUGUAAUGAAAAUAGAGCAGAAAGUCAAGCAGAAGUCGAUGCUGAGCACACAAGUCUUGAAUGUCAAGCAGAAGUCGAUGCUGAGCACACAAGUCUUGAUGCCCCAGAUGGCUAUGGAAGCAUGGACGAAGAUGACCACACUAUAUCAAAUGGGGAUGAAGAGGAAUUUGAGGGAAAGAGAAAAAGGAAGCCCCCCCCCCAAAAAGGCUGCAAACGUCAGAAAUUCACAGAGGUAGAAACGGAGGAAAUAAAAACUUACUUUAGUGAAUAUCUAAAAAGUGGAAUUUGUCCGCGGAAACAGCAGGUUGAAGAUGCCAAACAGAAAAGUCGUAAGAAAACUGGGCAAAUAUGGAAAAGGUCAAACGACAAGAUAAUUAAGAAAAUUAGUGCAAUGAAUCAUAAGAAAAAAUAAAAACAUGUUGUUUACUACCGGUACUCGGAUGGAACAUUAUAAGAAUACCUUCGAGGGACAUUGAAAAGUUCAUGCAACAGUGACUUGGCAAAUAUGGGUGAUGUUUGUAUGCAAGUGGUAAUUUUUGUGUGUGCAUUUUAUUUGUUGAAUUGAAACUUUACUAUGUAUAUGUCUAAAGGUGGAAAAGAAUCUGGUAUAUUAUCAAACGUUAAAAAUGCUAAUACAAAAGCGUAGAUACAAUAUUUUCCUUUUUGCUUCAUCGAUGCUUUUGGAAUGUACCUUAUUUAUUUUCUUAUAUACCUGAUUUCAGUUUACAAAUAAUUUAAGUAAAGUUUAAGGUAUAUAAUUAAAACACAUGUUAUGAACAUAAGGUCACAAAUAAAUUUUAGAAGCAAGCUCUAUUUGUAACUACUUAGGAAGAAACAUUUUUCCAAAUAGAUUCUUUUUUCUCCUGUGGUUUUUCUUAGAUUCACAACUUAUGUUAUUUAAAAAAAGAGAGAUUGUGUGUCCUUUCCAAAAGUUGCUUAUAAUAUGUAACUUAAGCUGCCAUAUGUAUGGUCCAAACUUGAAGAAAAUGUUUUGGCAAGACCAAUAUGGAAUCUGGGCCAUGUGGGUCCAAAAGCUAGAAUGUGUGCAAAAAUUUACAAAAAUAAUUGUAAAUAUGCUUGAAGACACAUUUUUGGUCCAUUUUUUUUCAAGAUAAUAUCAAGUUUGACAAAUCUUGAGGAAACUUUGUAAGAGUUGUCUAGACAUUUUUAGUUUGAAAUUGUUAGUUCAAAAUACAUUUGCACACACCCUAAGCAUGUUUUUUUGCUAUACAGUUACUGGUUUGUAAUGUUUUAAAAGGACAGGGCAGUUGAAUAAAACACUGACAAUUAGUUUUUUCUGAUGGGAAUGUUUACCAGUAUGAUUGGAAUAAUUUUGUCAUGCCGCUGGGAUUGAGCUCGUUUUAGUUGCCACAAUUACACUUGCGUGUCUGUAUAUAUGUUGGUUUAGGUUUUGGGUCAGGAUUGCUUGUCCAGAAUGUAUCGCCCUUAUGCAUUGACACUUUGUUUUUAAAUAACUUGGCAUAAUUGUUAAACACCAUGAGCCGGUGUGCAACACGAAAGAUCCAGGUCUCUAGCUCAAAGGUCAAGGUCACACUUCAAAUAUCGUCAAAUAUAGAUCCGUUGUAUGGGUUCUGCGAGUUUGACAGUCCCACUACACAAAAAAAAAACACAUGUCCAACACACGGGUGUACGUUAAUGCGGCGAUUAGAAAGCCUGGUGUUCAUUGGCUCGUCGUUUUCAUAAACAGGCUUCUGAUUGCCUCAGAUAUAGUCGCUCAAGUCGAUAUAAGAGUUCAAAGGUCAAAAAUUAGCAUUAUACACCUUGUCCGGUCUGUAUCUCCCUUAUGCAUUGACACUUUUUUUAAACAAAUAUUUCUUGUUGGUUUUUGUCAGGUUUUUUAAAUUAUUAUUUGUGUCUGUGUGCAAACAGGAUACCAACUUUGCUUUAUUGACACUGUGCUAGACAGGCAUCUAGUUCUAAAGUUCAUGUCAUGUGUGUGUAUAGGUAAAUGGAGAUAUAUUUUAUACAUAUUAACUGUCUAUACAUGUUGUAAAUAGGAUUUAUACCGAGUCUGUAGAAGAAAUACGACAUUCAAUUUCAAUAUUUGUUUGACUUUCCCUAGGUGUUGUUUAGCUCAACUUUUCAAAGAAAAUGAGAGCUAUUGUACCCACCGCGGCAUUUGCUGUGGUCAAAUUUUUAUAAAUCACAAAUAACUUUGGGAAAAUGUUAUUUGUAUUUGUCAAUGUUAGUUUUUCAUUACAAAAGCUUAAAUUACAAAACUUCAAUGUACUGAAAAGUAAGUGUAAUCUGAGAUUAUUAUACUCUGUAAUAACUUGAACAUAUUGAAAAUUAACAUGUGAUCUGAGCAAAUAUGUGACAAGUAUUCAGAAAAGUUGACCAGCGCUGUCCUCUGGCAGCCCUCGUUUUUAAUUGUUUUAUUUUGUUUCAUUUUGUUCUACUGCAGUAAAAUCCAUUUGCAAACAUAGUUAAAUCUGAUAUUUACUAAUUUUUACACUCUUCCUACAGAGACGGAUAUUUUAGUUGAAGAAUAAGGUCAUAUAUUUUUUUCAGUAACAAUUUCAUUAUAUCUUCCUUUGAUGACCCACAAUAAUUGAUAUUAGGUUCAUAUUAGUGACAUCCCACAACCAUUUUGUUAAUCUUAUGCUAUUGAAGUUUGUCCAGUAUGCCUGCAUUUUGUCAUUUACUGGUUUGCAAAAUUGUUUUGAAUAGACCAAUGAUGCACAUUACUUUUGAGCAUUUAUCUUGCAGGCAAAAUAUCCACUAUAUGUCUUAACAUACACCUCUGAAAAAUAAAAAAUGUGUAGUUUUAAGUCAUGUUGUGUAUUAUAUAUUAUGUACCUGAAUGUAUGUUGAAUUGGUGGGUAACCAUGGUCUUGGUGUGUGAUGCUUUACCGGGUAUGUGGUUUUGUAUGGCUGAAGUGAGAAAGAGAAGAAAUUACAUUAUAAAAUGUUGCCAUUUUUAAUGUGUGAAUCCAGUUAGUUGUGGUCAAGCGCAAUUUGAUGCACAAUGCGGAUCAUUUCAUUUAUAAUAUUUUUGAACAUGAUAAAGGAAAUUUAUGUCAAUAUUCCUUUUGCUUAAGUUUUGGGGAAAGUGAUUACAAUGGUUGAAAUUUUCUACAUUCAAAGAAUAGGUGUUGUAUUGUUUCUUAAGAGCACUAGCAUAGAUUGCAAAUACUUGAUUGUAUUUGUUUACAUUUAUAAAAGUAGGCAUUCGUGACAGUUAUUUGAUACGAUAUGUUUUUAUUAAACAUUUCUAACAUAUGUGUCAUUUGUUGGUACAUGUAUUUGUGUUAAAUACAUAGUUUUCCAGUGGAGUUGUAACUCUUUAUUUGACAUAAUAUGCUCCCGCAAUUUAUUUGGGUGAAAAGACACGCAGUGAUAUAGACACAGAAGUCUGAAAAACACACAAUGUAUCAUUCGUUAGAAACAAAAAUGAAAAGACCCACAAUACGAUUUUGAUAGUCCCACAAAUUAUUAGACACACAAUGUAUCAUUCGUGAGCCUGUCCGUCCGUCCGUCCGAAAACUUUAAUGGCCAUAACUUUUUCAAUACUGAACAUAGCAUUGUGGCAUACAUGUGCAUCUCAUGGAGCUGCACAUUUUGAGUGGUAAAAGGUGAAGGUCAAGGUCAUCCUUCAAGGUCAAAUGUCAAAUAUAUGGCGUCUGUCCGUCCGUCCGAAAACUUUAACAUUGGCCUUAACUUUUUUAAUAUUCAAGAUAGCAACAUGAUAUUUGGCAUGCAUGUGUAUCUCAUAAAGCUGAACAUUAUAAGUGGUGAAAGGUGAAGGUCAAGAUCAUCCUUCAAGGUCAAAUGUCAAAUAUAUGGUGUCUUUCCGUUCGUCCGAAAACUUUAACAUUUGCCAUAACUUUUUCAAUAUUUAAGAUAGCAACUUGAUAUUUUGCAUGCAUGUAUAUCUCAUGGAGCUGCACAUUUUGAGUAGUGAAAGGUGAAGGUCAAGGUCAUUUUAAGGUCAAAUGUCAAAUAUAUGGCGUCUGUCCGUCUGUCCGAAAACUUUAACAUUGGCCAUCACUUUUUCAAUAUUGAAGAUAGCAACUUGAUAUUUGGCAUGCAUGUGUAUCUCAUGGAGCUGCACAUUUUGAGUGGUGAAAGGUCAAGAUCAUCCUUCAAGGUCAAAGGUCAAAUAUAUGGCUUCAAAGUGGCGCAGUAGGGGGCAUUGUGUUUCUGACAAACACAUCUCUUGUUCUAAAUUGUUGCCUGUACAUAAUGUCUUCUGCUUAAGGUUAGACAAGGUCUGUGUGCACCAUCCCUAAUCCACCCCUAACAGCCCCUGCGCGUCUGUAACAAACUAUAUAUAUUUAUAUUUCAAUGUGUAUUCCAUAAGUUUUUUAAGAAUAUGCUGGAUGUUGUGCUGGUUUGUUUGCUAUAAAAAACUAUAUUUUUGUUGUUGACUUGUUACUGGAUUAAAAUUCUUGCUACAUAUUUGAUUUUUGAUUAUUGUGUAUUAAUAAUAGAAUUAAAAGUGAUGAUAAAUCAUAUAAAUAAUAGCAAUAUAACUUAUUCGAGUAGCUUUUUGUAUGGACUUUAUGUUAGGCCAUGCAUAUACAUGUUUUACUUAAUAAUUGUUGUUCACUUGAUCCUUGACAUCUGUUAGUGCAAAACAACUGCUGUCAACCACUUUUGUUUUGCAUGUCUGUUGUCAAGGUCUUUUAAUUCUAGCUGAAAAUCCAGGCCUAAAUGUUGGGGCACAGCACCCUGCAGCCCCAAGGUCCCACCCUGCCCUUUUGACUCCACCAUGAACAUACAUUUAAUGUGAAAUAUGAGCAGAAAUAGAACAUGCUAUAUUGAAAAAUGCCUCAAAAAUAAUAUGAUCAAAUGCGCUAAAGUGCACUUUUGAUCAAUUAGCACUUCUUGUUAUGUGUUAGUGUUUUAAUAAAUUGUACAUUUGAAUUGUGAUACAACUUGUUAAAUUUAUCCUUUAGUCAUAAUUUAGUGUUGUUGUAAUUAAGAAUUAAUGUAUCCAACAAAUAUGACUAUUGUCAGAUUAGUGUAGAUCUUUAAAUCAUUUAAAUUUUGUAUCAAGCUCAUUUUUAUGUGUUUAAUCAUAAAAUAAUAUUGUUAUAUAAUGUAUCAUGCCAUAUAUUUGGGAUUAUUUUAUUAAAGUAAUGUAAAGUUAAUUUAUUGAUGUAUUGAGUUCACAUAUUUUACAAUUGCAUUUAAAGAAAUAUGGACAAGAUGAUUGUGAAAUAUGAUAUUUUGUGACCUAUUAUGGACAUUUGGCUCAUGAUAUUGUUAAUUGUUGUUUUUUUAGAAGGUUAGGAUUAUGUGGUAUUUUGUGUAUAUUUAAAAAAAAAUACACCAGAUAGGUGUUAUAAUAGUAUUGUAUUCAUUUUAAUAAAACAGCUGUUUGACAAAGAUAAGAAUGAGGCGUGCUCUAAGAAAACGGGGCUAAAUGCAAGUGUGUAAAGUUUCCCUCACCCCUGUGACCAUUGCCACGAAAUCUCCAAUAUUGCUCACCGUAAUUACUCUGUUUUCGGACACUUAAAAAUAAUUAUUUAUUUUCUUGUCCGAAAAUUUAGAUAUGAAAAAUAUUCAAAAAUUAUGAGUGUCCGAAAAUUUAGAGACAUACAUGUUAUGGUAGUUUGUCAAUUAUUGUAAUGAAAUAAAACCAAUCAUAAAUGUG